Molecule: ribosomal RNA, 505 nt
Filed under: uncultured bacterium
Lineage: Bacteria
Description: partial 16S ribosomal RNA
Rfam family: Bacterial small subunit ribosomal RNA
Source: RNAcentral
GACGAACGCUGGCGGCGUGCCUAAUACAUGCCAGUAGAACGCACAGUUUAUACCGUAGCUUGCUACACCAUAGACUGUGAGUUGCGAAUGGGUGAGUAACGCGUAGGUAACCUGCCUGGUAGCGGGGGAUAACUAUUGGAAACGAUAGCUAAUACCGCAUAAUAUUGAUUAUUGCAUGAUAAUUAAUUGAAAGGUGCAAUUGCACCACUACCAGAUGGACCUGCGUUGUAUUAGCUAGUAGGUGAGGUAACGGCUCACCUAGGCGACGAUACAUAGCCGACCUGAGAGGGUGAUCGGCCACACUGGGACUGAGACACGGCCCAGACUCCUACGGGAGGCAGCAGUAGGGAAUCUUCGGCAAUGGACGAAAGUCUGACCGAGCAACGCCGCGUGAGUGAAGAAGGUUUUCGGAUCGUAAAGCUCUGUUGUAAGAGAAGAACGGGUGUGAGAGUGGAAAGUUCACACUGUGACGGUAUCUUACCAGAAAGGGACGGCUAACUACGUG